GAGUUGCAAAACUCCCAACCAUUGUGAACCUACCUCACCGUUGCUUCGGCGGGUAGCCCGUCCACCACGGGCUGCGCCGGCCCCCCUCCAGGGGGUCCGGCACCCCGCCAGAGGCCCGAAACUCUUUGUCAUCAGUGGCCUCUCUGAGUAACUUAUACAAUAAGUCAAAACUUUCAACAACGGAUCUCUUGGUUCU
RNAcentral lists this unclassified non-coding RNA (196 nucleotides) under rhizosphere metagenome. RNAcentral describes it as "partial ribosomal RNA internal transcribed spacer region". The record is from RNAcentral.